GAUGAACGCUAGCUACAGGCUUAACACAUGCAAGUCGAGGGUUAACAGGAGGAAAGCUUGCUUUUCUUGCUGACGACCGGCGCACGGGUGCGUAACAGGUGUGCAAUCUGUCCAUAGUCGGGGAAUAGCCCAGCGAAAGUUGGAUUAAUGCUCCAUGUGAGCGAGUGCCGCAUGACACACGCUUGAAACGUAAGGACUAUGGGUGAGCACGCUUCUGAUUAGAUAGUUGGUGGGGUAACGGCUCACCAAGUCGACGAUCAGUAGGGGUUCUGAGAGGAAGGUCCCCCACAUUGGAACUGAGACACGGUCCAAACUCC
RNAcentral lists this ribosomal RNA (317 nucleotides) under uncultured Paludibacter sp. RNAcentral's name for it is "bacterial SSU rRNA". It matches the Rfam family "Bacterial small subunit ribosomal RNA", at positions 28 to 339 of the family's 1533-position model. The record is from RNAcentral. Lineage: Bacteria; Pseudomonadati; Bacteroidota; Bacteroidia; Bacteroidales; Paludibacteraceae.